CAUGCAAGUCGAACGGCAGCACGGAGCUUGCUCUGGUGGCGAGUGGCGAACGGGUGAAGUAAUAUAUCGGAACGUACCCUGGAGUGGGGGAUAACGUAGCGAAAGUUACGCUAAUACCGCAUACGAUCUAAGGAUGAAAGUGGGGGAUCCCCAGACCCCAUGCUCGUGGAGCGGCCGAUAUCUGAUUAGCUAGUUGGUAGGGUAAAAGCCUACCAAGGCAUCGAUCAGUAGCUGGUCUGAGAGGACGACCAGCCACACUGGAACUGAGACACGGUCCAGACUCCUACGGGAGGCAGCAGUGGGGAAUUUUGGACAAUGGGCGAAAGCCUGAUCCAGCAAUGCCGCGUGAGUGAAGAAGGCCUUCGGGUU
Molecule: ribosomal RNA, 369 nt
Filed under: Janthinobacterium sp. 32AAIII
Lineage: Bacteria; Pseudomonadati; Pseudomonadota; Betaproteobacteria; Burkholderiales; Oxalobacteraceae
Description: bacterial SSU rRNA
Rfam family: Bacterial small subunit ribosomal RNA
Source: RNAcentral